UAGGGAAUCUUCCACAAUGGACGCAAGUCUGAUGGAGCAACGCCGCGUGAGUGAAGAAGGUUUUCGGACCGUAAAGCUCUGUUGUUGGUGAAGAAGGAUAGAGGUAGUAACUGGCCUUUAUUUGACGGUAAUCAACCAGAAAGUCACGGCUAACUACGUGCCAGCAGCCGCGGUAAUACGUAGGUGGCAAGCGUUGUCCGGAUUUAUUGGGCGUAAAGCGAGCGCAGGCGGAAGAAUAAGUCUGAUGUGAAAGCCCUCGGCUUAACCGAGGAAUUGCAUCGGAAACUGUUUUUCUUGAGUGCAGAAGAGGAGAGUAGAACUCCAUGUGUAGCGGUGGAAUGCGUAGAUAUAUGGAAGAAUACCAGUGGCGAAGGCGGCUCUCUGGUCUGCAACUGACGCUGAGGCUCGAAAGCAUGGGUAGCGAACAGGAUUAGAUACCCCUGGUAGUCCAUGCCGUAAACGAUGAGUGCUAAGUGUUG
RNAcentral lists this ribosomal RNA (479 nucleotides) under uncultured bacterium. RNAcentral describes it as "partial 16S ribosomal RNA". It matches the Rfam family "Bacterial small subunit ribosomal RNA", at positions 355 to 825 of the family's 1533-position model. The record is from RNAcentral.